Molecule: non-coding RNA, 46 nt
Filed under: Trichobilharzia regenti
Lineage: Eukaryota; Metazoa; Platyhelminthes; Trematoda; Strigeidida; Schistosomatidae
Source: RNAcentral
GUACUGCUGAAGAGUCCCAAACUAGGACGAAACAGCUGCCCCGUAC